UUAGUAUUCCCUCCGUCUCAAAAUUCUUGUCUUAAGUUGGUCUAGAAAUAGAUGUAUCUAAAUAUCAAAAUGUGACUAGAUACAUUCAUAUCUAGACAAAUUUAAGACAAUUUUUUUUAGACGGAGGGAGUACUAG
Hordeum vulgare subsp. vulgare (domesticated barley) is the source of this 136-nucleotide non-coding RNA. Lineage: Eukaryota; Viridiplantae; Streptophyta; Magnoliopsida; Poales; Poaceae. The record is from Rfam.